RNAcentral lists this unclassified non-coding RNA (212 nucleotides) under plant metagenome. Its description in RNAcentral is "partial contains small subunit ribosomal RNA, internal transcribed spacer 1, and 5.8S ribosomal RNA". The record is from RNAcentral.
UUUCCGUAGGUGAACCUGCGGAAGGAUCAUUACUAAUUAGUGUAUUACGGCACUUUUUUAAAUCCAUUUCCACCUUGUGUGCAAUGUUAGGGUUGAUUUUCGCCCGAGAGGAUCAACCCCAAACAUCAACUAUAGCCCAACUCUUUGUCUGAGAAAUAUUAUGAAUAAAACAAAUCAAUAUACAACUUUCAACAACGGAUCUCUUGGCUCUC